Transfer RNA from Camelus ferus (Wild Bactrian camel), 72 nucleotides. It matches the Rfam family "tRNA". Rfam says of the family: Transfer RNA (tRNA) molecules are approximately 80 nucleotides in length. Their secondary structure includes four short double-helical elements and three loops (D, anti-codon, and T loops). The record is from Rfam. Lineage: Eukaryota; Metazoa; Chordata; Mammalia; Artiodactyla; Camelidae.
GAGGGCAUAGCUCAGUGGCAGAGUGGGUGCCUAGCAUGCACAAGGCCCUGGGUUCAGUCCCCAGUACCUCCA